Long non-coding RNA from Canis lupus familiaris (dog), 1446 nucleotides. RefSeq lists it as uncharacterized. The transcript is spliced from 3 exons. The record is from RefSeq and is a predicted model, not a curated record. NCBI's taxonomy places the organism in Eukaryota, Metazoa, Chordata, Mammalia, Carnivora, Canidae.
UUCCGUAGGCACUCUAUCAACCCGCCUCCAGCCAACGAGCGGCCUUGAGAAGCAUCUGCGUUCACUCCCAAGUGGAAGUGACCUGGGGCAGACAGGAAGAAAAGUAAAAGUUGUCAGAACCUGAGAACAAAAGCAAAGCUUGUCCACGUCGGUUCUUAGAACUUUCUAGGUUUGGUCAUUAUAUGCCGGACACACACGUAACCACUGCCACGUGGGCUUUUGUUUGUUUCUGAGACGUGCUGAGGGAUCACAGAAGUAUCUGGCCAACUCUACAAACUAUCCUAAUUUUUAUAUUUCCUCCAAAGGACAUAAAGGGCAACGUAGAGCAGAUUCCUGACGGUGCUUGGCCCGGCUUGGCCCCACAACCUCCUCAUUCAGUCGUAAGAAACAGAACAAGAUGUGAAUUCACGCAAACAGAUGCCCAAAGUUAGCUGUGCAAACAGGAGCCUCCCAGCGCCGGGCUGAACUCAGCUGGGACAGCCUGCCUCCUCACCCUUCAAGUGUCUAAGACAACCUGCUUCUUUAGCCCUAGGCUACUGAGAAAAAUGAAAGGUCCCAAACUUAAUUUGGCGAGGAUUUCCUCCAAGGCACCACUUCCCGAAUCUUCAACGAGUUGCAGUGCUCCAGUCUGGGCUGGACUUGAAGGCGGCUUAUUGAUCGCCCGGGCUGCAGCCCAGCUCCUCGGCUCCACUGCCCGGAGGGGGCUGGGAUCGGGGGCCCAGGAAGAGCGGGGGCCCUGCCCUCCCCUGGGCACCUGUAAAACCCUUCUCUGAAUUUCAAGGCGAUGGCCAAGCUGUUCUCCAGAAAGCACACACCAGACUAAAAUAAAGGACCAGACGCAAGCCAGAAACAGAGAGGAAGAUCUCAUCCUGAUGGGCCUUUUGGAAGCCAGGGGCACUGGAAGUGAAAAGACUAACAUGGGGGCAAAAUAAGGCCAGGUCCAUUACCACCACCAGUUUGCAGGCGAGGAGACCCAAGUGCCAAGAGGCAAAGAACACGUGCGGUAGUGGCAGCAGGGGGAACGUGAGCUCCUUCCGACACCAGGACCCAAGCCUUUGAUCCAGCUCCACUUUUCUGAGGCUUUAGAAUGUAGACAUUUAAACAAAGCAAAAAAGAAUUUGCAAUGGGAAAAAGACCGUCUCUUCAACAAAUGCUGUUGUCAAAACCAGACAGCCACAUGCAAAAGACUGAAAUUGGACCACUUUCUUACACCGUACACAAAAAUAAACUCAAAAUGGAUUAAAAACCUAAAUGUGAAACCUGAAACCAUAAAAAUCCUAGAAGAGAACACAGCCAGUCAUGUCUCUGACAUCCGUAGGAGGAACAUUUUUCUAGAUAGGUCUCCUGAGGCAAGGGAAAUAAGAGCAAAAAUAAACUACUGGGACUGCAUCAACAUAAAAAGCUCUGCACAGUGAAGGAAGCAAUCAACAAAACUCAAAGGUAACC